GAUGAAGAACGUAGCGAAAUGCGAUACUUGGUGUGAAUUGCAGAAUCCCGUGAACCAUCGAGUCUUUGAACGCAAGUUGCGCCUCAAGCCAUUAGGUUGAGGGCACGUCUGCCUGGGCGUCACAUAUCGUUGCCUGAUGCCAGUUUCCUCGUGAUGGGUGACUGUGCAGGGCGAAUGAUGGCUUCCCGUGAGCAUUGUUGCCUCAUGGUUGGUUGAAAAUUGAGUCCUUGGUAGGGAGCGCCGUGAUAGAUGGUGGUUGAGUGACGAACGAGACCCAAUCAUGUGAGACCCCUACCGAAUUUGGCCUUCAUGACCCACAUGCGUCUUUGGAACGCUCAUGACGAGACCUCAGGUCAGGCGGGGCUACCCGCUGAGUUUAAGCAUAUCAAUAAGUGGAGGA
Molecule: unclassified non-coding RNA, 400 nt
Filed under: soil metagenome
Description: partial contains 5.8S ribosomal RNA, internal transcribed spacer 2, and large subunit ribosomal RNA
Rfam family: 5.8S ribosomal RNA (bases 1-122)
Source: RNAcentral